UACGGAGGGUGCGAGCGUUGUUCGGAAUCACUGGGCGUAAAGCGCGUGUAGGCGGCCCACUAAGUCUGAUGUGAAAGCCCGGGGCUCACCCCCGGAAGUGCAUUGGAAACUGGUGGACUCGAGUCCCGGAGAGGAGAGUGGAAUUCCUGGUGUAGCGGUGAAAUGCGUAGAUAUCAGGAGGAACACCGAUGGCGAAGGCAGGUCUCUGGGCAUUAACUGACGCUGAGGAGCGAAAGCAUGGGGAGCGAACAGG
This 253-nucleotide ribosomal RNA is filed under the name uncultured bacterium. RNAcentral's name for it is "partial 16S ribosomal RNA". It matches the Rfam family "Bacterial small subunit ribosomal RNA", at positions 524 to 776 of the family's 1533-position model. The record is from RNAcentral.